RNAcentral lists this ribosomal RNA (446 nucleotides) under uncultured bacterium. Its description in RNAcentral is "partial 16S ribosomal RNA". It matches the Rfam family "Bacterial small subunit ribosomal RNA", at positions 354 to 796 of the family's 1533-position model. The record is from RNAcentral.
GUAAGGAAUAUUGGGCAAUGGAGGCAACUCUGACCCAGCCAUGCCGCGUGAAGGAUUGACGGCCCUCUGGGUUGUAAACUUCUUUUGUACGGGAAUAACCCUCCGGACGUGUCCGGAGCUGAAGGUACCGUAAGAAUAAGGAUCGGCUAACUCCGUGCCAGCAGCCGCGGUAAUACGGAGGAUCCAAGCGUUAUCCGGAUUUACUGGGUUUAAAGGGUGCGUAGGCGGAUUAAUAAGUCAGUGGUGAAAGCCUGCAGCUUAACUGCAGAACUGCCAUUGAUGCUGUUAGUCUGGGGUAUGGUUGAGGUAGCUGGAAUGUGUCAUGUAGCGGUGAAAUGCUUAGAGAUGACACAGAACACCGACGGCGAAGGCAGGUUACCAACCCAUUACUGACGCUGAGGCACGAAAGCGUGGGGAUCAAACAGGAUUAGAAACCCUAGUAGUCC